GGAUGGGGAGGGUGACAGGGGGAUGGGGAGGGUGACAGGGGGAUGGGGAGGGUGACAGGGGGAUGUUGAAAGGGGGAUGGGGAGGGUGACAGGGGGAUGUUGACAGGGGGAUGGGGAGGGUGACAGGGGGAUGGGGAGGGUGACAGGGGGAUGAGGAUGGUGACGGGUGUGUUGGAGGGUAGAGGAGUAUGAGGAGCGUAGCCCCCCCGCCCCCCGCCCCGCCUCAAAACCACAACCGAUGCUGCAACCUCAGGGCUUGGAUCAAUACUACAUUCUGGGAAAUAAAGUUCUCUCCUCCUCCUCUCCUAACCUUCCUCUCCAUCCCUCUCUCCUUUACCCCUCCUCCCAGUGGGCUUUUGGGCCCUGCACUUACUCAACUCUUGAGGCUGAGGGAUGGACUCUGCUCUCGCCCCAACCAGCACAGAAGAGAUCUGGGUGUUAGGGAGGGGAGAGGAGUGUCACUGCUUAACAAAGGUGGUCAGAACAAAAUGUAUAGAAUGUGGUUUGACUAUAAAAGGGAUUGCAUUUUUAUUAUUUUUAUAGCGACUUGGGUAUUGGUGAGGAAAUGUUCAAAGUUUGUUUUCAUUUUGUGGACCUGUAAACAUUUCUUUCUGACCAGUCUUCCAUAUACAGACGGUUGUACGGUGACAAGAAGAUAGGCUUGUGUACCGGUAUGGAUGUGAGUGUGUGUAUUGAGUGCAUGGACGUAUUGGUUUGUAUGUAUUUACACGAAGAAGGUAGCGAAACCAACCACCUGCUUUAAUUUGUGAUUUGAAUCUUCUUAUCAGACACAUUUCAGUCUUAUCAUUCCAGCUCUGUUCUAUUUUGUUCCCAUCUGGUUGAGUGACCUGGAACUGGAAUUAAGUAUGGAGGUAGCCUAGUGGUUAGAGCGUUGGGCAAAUAACUGAAAGGUUGCUGGUUCAAAUCCCCAGGCUGACAGGGUGAAACAUCUGUCUGUGCCCUUGAGUAAGACACUAAACCCUACUUUUCUCCAGGGGGACUGUACUACUAUGGCUGACCCAUUAAAACAACACAUUUCACUGUACCUUAUCCAGUGUAUGGGAUGAUGCAACAGUUUUAUUUUUUGUCCUAGCCUCUGUAGAAAGAACCACAUACUGUUCUGGUCUCACAUUGGGAGACAUCUUCACCACUCUCUCUCUCUCUCUCUCUCUCUCUCUCUCUCUCUCUCUCUCUCUCUCUCUCUCUCUCUCUCUCUCUCUCUCUGUGUCUUCUCUCUGUGUCUUCUCUCUCUCUCUCUCUCUCUCUCUCUCUCUCUCUCUGUGUCUUCUCUCUGUGUCUUCUCUCUCUCUCUCUCUCUCUCUGUGUCUUCUCUCUCUCUCUCUCUCUCUCUCUGUGUGUCUUCUCUCUCUCUCUCUGUGUCUUCUCUCUCUCUCUCUCUGUCUUCUCUCUCUCUGUCUUCUCUCUCUCUCUCUCUCUCUCUCUCUGUGUCUUCUCUCUCUCUCUCUGUCUUCUCUCUCUCUCUCUCUCUCUCUGUGUCUUCUCUCUCUCUCUGUCUUCUCUCUCUCUCUCUCUCUCUCUCUCUCUCUCUCUCCGCUCUCUCUCUCUGUGUCUUCUCCCUCUAUCCCUCUACUUUUUUCUGUGUUGCAUUUGUGAGUGAGUGGGUGAGAGAAUAGUGUACUCUAUGCAAACAGAUGUACAGUAUGUAUGUAGGUAUUCUGCAGAAUGGUGAAAGCAGGUGUAAACACAUUACCUUUCAGCAUGCUUCAACACACGUGCUGUUAACUCCUUUAAGAAAACACGGCUUCAAACACACGCACACACACAUACACACACACAGGUUUUAAUAAGAGCCAGUCUGCACACUCCAAGAGAAGAGGGAACGGGGAAGAGAGAGUGAAUGGACGGCUGAAAGAUGACAGGAUGAAAGGUUUUCAGUUAUCUAAUUUCCUGCUUUAGGGUGUUUUUCUUCAAUCAAACCCAGGGUAGCUUUCUGGGUGGCCAACUUCACAUCCCUGCUGUAUAUGUCCAUUGUCCAGUAUGGUGAUCAGAGUAGGGUCAGACCCAGACCACAUAUAGCCAGUUUGAUUAAUGCUGAAAGGUAGCCAACUGACUGAAACUAGAUAUCUGAACUAACUGUCCAAUGACAAACACUAUAGCCCAUCCAUACUGACCAAUAAGAAACCGUCAGCAUUACCGAUCAGUGAUCUAUACAUAACCAAUGAUAAAGCACUCCAUUCCUGCUACAGUAUGACUUAUCAAUAGGCCUACUAGAGCAGCCUAGAGGAGGUCUAGUUAGAUGGUUAGGAGUCUGACCUCUGUGCUUUUUACUUAUUCAUGUAGUUUCCUCACGACAGUCUCUGGCUUAAUGUGCUGUAUGGUAUCCUUAGUCAUUUGAAUGUAUUUAACUUUUAAUUAUGUUUUACUUGGUGAUAGAAGCUCCAUACUGCACAAGCCCAGUGUGCAGCUUCCAAUCAGAUCUCACACACUCCCUCACUGAAUUGUGGGUCAAAAAAAUAUAUAUUUUGUUAGUAUGGCCACUAGUUGUUUUCUUUCCGUCUUUCUCUCUCUCUCUCUCUCUCUCUCUCUCUCUCUCUCUCUCUCUCUCUCUCUCUCUCUCUCUCUCUCUCUCUCUCUCUCUCUCUCUCUCUCUCUCUCUGAUUGAUUAUCAGGCAGGGUUCAUUUUGUGUCGUCUUUCUUCCUCUCUUCUUUGUAAUGUUUGGACUGAAAGGCCUGAUGCCUCCGAAAAUGACUGAGCAGAGUCACUCCUGUGUAAAACAGUCCUUCCACCUGCAGUUGUUGUUAUUUUGAUUUUACUGCUGUUUUCUGCCAGCGACGGCAAGAUUUCUGCUCACAUAUGCAAGCUGAGUGCAUCUGACUGGUUAUACACAUUCAGGUGCCUUAUGCAGUGCCACAUUGAACAAAGUACACACACACACACACACACACACACACACUGACAUUUUAACCACCUGGAUGUGUUAUUGCAUGAAGAGGUUGUAUUUUCAGUGGUGAGUUAUUGCCUUGUUCACUGCCACUGAGAAGAAAAGACACACACGAACAUCUUCAGACUGACAUGCAGAGAUAGGCACUCACACACCUUGAGUGACAGCAUGGCUUUGCAUGAAGGAGUGCAUGUGACUUUGAAGCCUGUGUUUUAUAUUGUUAGAAUUAUGACCAGAAAAAGAUUGAAAAUAUCAGGAGAAAUAUGCUGUUGUGUAUAUCAUUUUAACGGACAAUGUCAUGAUGAUGGCUAUUUGUUAAAUAUGUUGUUUUUAUCCUCCUUUAUUUUGUCUUUUCUCAUUGAAUUAAUUUUGAUCUAGGUUCGAUUGGCAUUAUGCAUUCAUCCAAUGAGCUUUAUUCAUGACUUAUUUUGGGAAAGGGGACAGGGCUUUUUGGGGAUGCGUGAAUCUAAAACUUUGCUCUAGGUUUACAGAUGUAAUAUAUUUAACAUAUCAUUGCUGUAAUAUAUGAUCAUUGCUAUCUAUCAAGUUGCUCUUCCUGUAACUCCUUUUUAGUUGUUGUUGCAUAUUGCUCUUCCAUGUCUGAUUGUUAUGAAAUGGUCCAAUGCUCAAUGUUUUUCCAGCCUUGCAGCAUGUCCCCAACAUUUCUACAUUGUUUAUAUAUGUAAUUUGUAUAAUGCAAGUAACACUAUAACGCUAGCAGAAUGAGACCCACUCCCUGAAGUAGCAGGAACAUUUAAGGAAUGUUUAAAGAAUUUUUAAAGGCCCCGUGGGUGUUCUAAUGCCCUGUGGUCCGUAUGACAUCAUCAUUUCACAAGUGCCUACAUCCUCUCAGGCCUCUGCAUGGUAACAGGGGUAGGAUUGGUUCUCUCUGGAAAUGAAUGUGAUACGUUUAAGGGAUAAUAAUGUCUACCCAUGUCUCUGCAUUUGAUAGUAGUCAUUCAUACACACACACACACACACACACACAGAGGAGGAGGAUAAUGUGUCAGUGCAGUGUGCAAUUAUCCCUAAUCACCACAGCAACUCGCCGUUGUCAUUCCCCAAGCUAGUUGAAGGGACCAGUGAAAAUACACACAUUAUUUCUCUGAAGUCACUCUCCUUAUUUCCCCUGUCCUUUCUUUAUGACAUCUCAUUUGCUACCAGAUAGAUAUAGUAGGGCAGGUGCAUAUUUAUUAAUAGGUUUUAAUCAAAAUAGAAGAAGAAUCAGUGAUUUGUUUUUUAUUAUUUCUAUUUGAAUUAUUAGGUAAUCAACUUGUGCAAUAACAAUUGUUCAUCUCACUUUCUAACCAGAUUUUAAUCUAUGACUUGACAUGAAUGCGAGAACCUUAUUUUUGUAAAGAAAUUUAAAAAUGUAAAACAAUAUAUAUGUAUGUAUAAGAGGGAAACUAAUGAACGCACAGGUGUGCGUGUGUAGACCUAAGGAAGAAGGAUGGUGUGUGUGUGUGUGUGUGGGAUGACACACACACACACUGUCUGUUUGGUCCCAGGCCAUUUCUGGAUUCUGCUGCUUGUACUGUAGCUGUCUGACUCUGGACUGUAUGAUGUGUUAUAGGCCCAUUACGGAAACCCAUUGGGGUCAAACCAGACAGAGCUUAACAAGUCCAGUGCUAUUUUUCACAAGAACAAAUAAAACAAUGUUUUGUAUAUCAGGGAUGAAUAAAGAGAUUUUAACAAAUGGCAGUCUGGAGUCUUGAUCAUCCUAAAAUCUUCCUUUCCCUCGCCCCUCUUUUUCUCUCAUCC
RNAcentral lists this long non-coding RNA (4664 nucleotides) under Salmo salar (Atlantic salmon). RNAcentral's name for it is "lncRNA (ENSSSAG00000108280.1)". Lineage: Eukaryota; Metazoa; Chordata; Actinopteri; Salmoniformes; Salmonidae. The record is from RNAcentral.